GACGAACGCUGGCGGCGUGCUUAACACAUGCAAGUCGAACGGCAGCAUAGGUGCUUGCACCUGAUGGCGAGUGGCGAACGGGUGAGUAAUACAUCGGAACGUGCCCAGUCGUGGGGGAUAACGUUGCGAAAGUUACGCUAAUACCGCAUACGAUCUAAGGAUGAAAGCGGGGGACCGUAAGGCCUCGCGCGAUUGGAGCGGCCGAUGUCAGAUUAGGUAGUUGGUGAGGUAAAGGCUCACCAAGCCGACGAUCUGUAGCUGGUCUGAGAGGACGACCAGCCACACUGGGACUGAGACACGGCCCAGACUCCUACGGGAGGCAGCAGUGGGGAAUUUUGGACAAUGGACGCAAGUCUGAUUCAGCCAUUCCGCGUGCAGGACGAAGGCCUUCGGGUUGUAAACUGCUUUUGUACGGAACGAAAAAGCUCUUACUAAUACUAGGAGUCCAUGACGGUACCGUAAGAAUAAGCACCGGCUAACUACGUGCCAGCCGCCGCGGUAA
RNAcentral lists this ribosomal RNA (502 nucleotides) under uncultured bacterium. RNAcentral's name for it is "partial 16S ribosomal RNA". It matches the Rfam family "Bacterial small subunit ribosomal RNA", at positions 28 to 523 of the family's 1533-position model. The record is from RNAcentral.